This 384-nucleotide ribosomal RNA is filed under the name uncultured soil bacterium. Its description in RNAcentral is "bacterial SSU rRNA". It matches the Rfam family "Bacterial small subunit ribosomal RNA", at positions 27 to 423 of the family's 1533-position model. The record is from RNAcentral.
GAUUGAACGCUGGCGGCAUGCCUAACACAUGCAAGUCGAACGGGAGUAGCAAUACUCUAGUGGCGGACGGGUGAGGAAUACGUAGGAAUUUGCCCUUAAGUGGGGGAUAACCCGGGGAAACCCGGAUUAAUACCGCAUGACCUCGAAAGAGCAAAGUGGGGGAUCGCAAGACCUCACGCUUUUGGAGAAGCCUACGUCGGAUUAGCUAGUUGGUGAGGUAAUGGCUCACCAAGGCGACGAUCCGUAACUGGUCUGAGAGGAUGAUCAGUCACACCGGAACUGAGACACGGUCCGGACUCCUACGGGAGGCAGCAGUGGGGAAUAUUGGACAAUGGGCGCAAGCCUGAUCCAGCAAUGCCGCGUGUGUGAAGAAGGCCUUCGGUU